CUCAUUCAUCAAUCAGGAUAGAUCAACUCUAGGGCAGCAGCAAAGUCGAGUGGAUGACCAUGCUGUAGUCUUAGAAAUCUGCUCUGUUCCAGAGAGGGAGAAUUGGACAAUUGACAGAGCAGAUGGCAAGAUGCGAUGUGAGACAGUAAAUGGUUUGCAUGUGUAAUUAAAAAAUAGCAAAGAUGAAAAGAUGUUGAAAUUCUUGUCUUUGUCAGUGACAAGUGUUUCUCAAACACCUACUAUUCAUACUAGACCUUAGCAGCAAAUAGGGCAGAAGCCCCUGAGUGUGGAAAGAUUAAGUAUAUGUCUCUGCUGAUACGGAAUUUACAAUCUGAUUGGAAGACAAGGCAUGCAGGUAUCAGAAAGAAAAGAAGUAGCAGGUGCUACAUACCAGGGGACUCCCACUGAAGAAACUCGUUCCACCAAUGCAAGUCAUCUCCUCCUCUGCAACUUGGAGUCUUAGAUGCUGAUAACAUUUGGAGAUGAAAGGGCUGCUGACGAGGCCACCUUACCAUUCACUAUUACAUACCUUAUGUUGGGACAAAGUGAGGCACUCACCGAGGUGCUCAACAUUCAAGAAAGAGAUUUACUUUGCUCCAUUGCAUCAAGAGUAUAAAACAAGGACACAGCUUCUCUAAGUUGUUUUGGAAUCAUAGAGAUACACCCUGUCAUUUCUCCUUUUGCUUGACCAAGACAUCUGAAUCAGUUUUGCAAGUUAGGCUAAGUAGCUGAA
Molecule: non-coding RNA, 733 nt
Organism: Phascolarctos cinereus (koala)
Lineage: Eukaryota; Metazoa; Chordata; Mammalia; Diprotodontia; Phascolarctidae
Source: RefSeq, a predicted model, not a curated record